Long non-coding RNA from Spodoptera frugiperda (fall armyworm), 2776 nucleotides. RefSeq lists it as uncharacterized. Lineage: Eukaryota; Metazoa; Arthropoda; Insecta; Lepidoptera; Noctuidae. The transcript has 2 exons. The record is from RefSeq and is a predicted model, not a curated record.
CAUUUUAUCGCCAAUUGUAGUCAUAUGGUAAGAUUCCAAUUUGCUAUUAAUAUUGUUUUCAAAGUAUUCAAAUAUGCAUGUCCCUAGUGUUUCAUAAAACACACUUCAACCUCAACGCAUCACAACGCUGUAUAAUGUUCCCAUUUGUUACAAACUCUCAAAACGAACGCUUCCUAGUUCCUAUUUGUGCUUUCUAAGUAAUUUGAAAUACUUUAAAAAUCAAUAUUUAACCAGAAAUAAUAUGAUAUCUUAUCACUUUUGAUCCGUUGUUACUCCAAUCCUAUAGCCAUAUUCUGACCAAUUGUAGCUUAGCGCAAGUUGCCGAUUUCUUAUAGUUUUCAAAGUAAUCAAAAUGCAUGUUUUUCAUUGCGAAUUAGUUCUCUAGAGUCUAUUUUCUUAAAGGUUCUUAUUCGUACUAUAACAUAGUCUUACAUAGUAUUUUCCUUCUUUGGUUACGAGUUUUUUGCCAAAUACAGUUUAUUUUAUCUAUGGGAUUCUAUAGAUUUUCGUCUAUUCCCUUUCAACACUUUCCUAUUAUAUUAUUCUGCCUUGCUUUGAUUAAAAGAGUUUUGUCAAAUAUGGAGCUAAAAUCACAUCAUAUACGUCAAUGAUACCUUCCCUAUAGGCAUUUUACAUACUUCUUCUGGGAUCAACAGAGAAACUUCGUAUUAUCUUUGCACCUAUAACAAACAACCUAUAUUUAUUUCUAUAAAGAAGUGAAUUAUUGUUAACAUCCGCUUGUUAAUUACGUGGUUCCAUAUUUGUAUAGGAAUUAACAAUUAAAAAUGCAUUACAAUUAAUUUCCGAUCCGUGCGAAACGUUGUAUUUCUUAGUAAUUACGAACACGCGCAUGUAAAAUUAAUGAAUCGUUCUCUAGUAGUCGAUGUUGAUUAAAUCCAUCAAGCAUGACUUUAAUUUUGAUUUCGAGGUUCAUAUCUCUUAGUGAUUAUAUUCAAUAUACUUGAAAAUAUUCAAGUUCUUUGUACUCAAAACAAUAUUGUAUCUAUCUUUUGCAAUCGCUGCAUCAAAAAUCUAUACAGAUAUAAUUUUAAGUAUUAUACUACUUUAAACUUUAAGUUUAAUUGAUAUAAGUUCUUCCAUUGACAUGUUGAAAGUCAAACAUGAAUCCCAAUCUCUAUCUCUAUAUUUUUGAGAGUAGUCUAGCUGUGUACUCUAUCAAUCAAUCUUAUUGGUAAAGAUAAGAUUCCAUUUGUUAUACCUAUUGCCUUAUAAUUUCUAUUGCUUCAUAGUUGUACAUUUCGUGGUCAACUAACAGGACUCUGAAUAUCAAAAUGUAAAUUAGGUCAAGCCAAAUUAAAUAUCUAAAUAUGCCAUCUUUCAACGAUUGGCUUUAUAGCAGAGACUGUGUCAUCUAUUGCCUUAUAAUUUCUAUUGAUUCACAGUUCAAUUUCUAUUGCUUUACAAUUUAAUUUCUAAUGCUUCACAGAUUAAUUUCUAUUGCUUCAUAGUUGUACAUUUCGUGGUCAACUAACAGGACUCUGAAUAUCAAAAUGUAAAUUAGGUCAAGCCAAAUUAAAUAUCUAAAUAUGCCAUCUUUCAACGAUUGGCUUUAUAGCAGAGACUGUGUCAUCUAUUGCCUUAUAAUUUCUAUUGAUUUAUAGUUGUAUAUUUCGUGGUCAACUAACAGGACUCUGAAUAUCAAAAUGUAAAUUAGGUCAAGUCAAAUGAAAUAUCUAAAUAUGCCAUCUUUCAACGAUUGACUUUAUAUCAGAGACUGUGUCAUCUAUUGCCUUAUAAUUUCUAUUGCUUCAUAGUUGUACAUUUCGUGGUCAACUAACAGGACUCUGAAUAUCAAAAUGUAAAUUAGGUCAAGCCAAAUUAAAUAUCUAAAUAUGCCAUCUUUCAACGAUUGGCUUUAUAGCAGAGACUGUCUCAUCUAUUGCCUUAUAAUUUCUAAUGCUUCAUAGUUUCACAUUUCGUGAUCAACUAACAGAACCCUGAAUAUCAAAAUGUAAUUAGAUAAGGCCAGUAUAAGUCUGUAAAUAUUAUAUCUUUCAGCGAUUGACUUUAUAGCAGAUACUGUGUCAUCUAUUGCCUUAUAAUUUCUAUUGCUUCAUAGUUUUACAUUUCCUUUUUACAACCUUCUAUAUAUAUGGUUUCACCCACUCACUUCACUCAAUGGUCCUAACAAAACUUUGAAAAUCAAUGAGUCAGUUAGGUCAAAAUAGAUCUCUAACUCAAUUAGAGAAGAUCUAAAAUGUCUUGUUCUUUCAAGAUCAUUAGCAAUAUUAGAAUUUGAUGUUUCACAUAGCAUGAUUGCCAGAGAAUUUAUUGUCAUUGUAAAUCCGUCUUUCUUGGGUAGAACCUAGUAUAUCUUUCUAAUGUUUAAUUAAUUUAUUGCAGUUAAAAUAUAUUUCCAAAGGUCAUCAUCUCUUUUAUUAGGAAUUUGACUGUAUAAUAGUGUAGCUUACGCUGUAUUUAGAGCUAUAAGUACCUAUUAUAUUCUUUAAUUCGAUUCCUUAAGUUUUCAAUUCAAUUGUAAACAUCCUCUAUUAAUGCGCAUUAAUUAAUCUUUAACAUCAUUAGCAUUUGCUAUUAACGAUUCAUUUUGAUUUAUUAUUUCCUCAAAUGCUCUUAAAAUCUCCAGUUUAAUUUUUUUAACAAGUCAAACUAUCCGUGUAUAUUUGACUAAGUAUAUCAAAUUGCAAUUUCUUAAUCGCUUCAACUAGUAAAUGCUUCAUUAACUUUACUUUAUUGUUCUUCAAAAACAAUGCCGUGUUGAUUAAACUUUUCUUUGUUUAGAUUUACAGCUGUU